RNAcentral lists this ribosomal RNA (498 nucleotides) under uncultured bacterium. Its description in RNAcentral is "bacterial SSU rRNA". It matches the Rfam family "Bacterial small subunit ribosomal RNA", at positions 28 to 517 of the family's 1533-position model. The record is from RNAcentral.
GAUGAACGCUAGCGGCGGGCUUAAUACAUGCAAGUCGAGGGGCAGCAUGACUGUAGCAAUACAGUUGAUGGCGACCGGCAAACGGGUGCGGAACACGUACAGAACCUUCCUUCGAGCGGGGAAUAGCCCAGAGAAAUUUGGAUUAAUACCCCAUAGUAUAUUAGAGUGGCAUCACUUUGAUAUUAAAGAUUUAUCACUUGAAGAUGGCUGUGCGGCUGAUUAGGUAGUUGGCGGGGUUACGGCCCACCAAGCCUUCGAUCAGUAACUGGUGUGAGAGCACGACCAGUCACACGGGCACUGAGACACGGGCCCGACUCCUACGGGAGGCAGCAGUAAGGAAUAUUGGUCAAUGGACGAAAGUCUGAACCAGCCAUGCCGCGUGGAGGAUGAAGGUCCUCUGGAUUGUAAACUUCUUUUAUAUGGGACGAAAAAAGGGUUUUCUAACUCGUCUGACGGUACCAUAUGAAUAAGCACCGGCUAACUCCGUGCCAGCAGCCG